GCAGCAGGAGAAGCAAAAGUUCAGUAUCUACAUCAGGAAAUAACCCACAAGAAUGUUUACAACGAAAGGUGGAAAGCAUACAAAUACAAUCCUUCCUUCUCUGAAGAGCUUGAGGCUGUUACACAAUUGCAUUUACAAAUGAAUUUCCAUAACGACACUGGCCACGUAAAAACAUCUUUGGAUGUUUGAAAAAAAACUCUGAUUCCAAACAAAAGUGGGGAAGGAAUUAGUCUUCAGUUUCUUUGAUCUCUUUGCUCUUCCUCACUUCUACCACCCGUUUUCCCUUCUCACGUU
Long non-coding RNA from Amblyraja radiata (thorny skate), 294 nucleotides. RefSeq lists it as uncharacterized. Lineage: Eukaryota; Metazoa; Chordata; Chondrichthyes; Rajiformes; Rajidae. The record is from RefSeq and is a predicted model, not a curated record. The transcript has 4 exons.